UACGUAGGGGGCAAGCGUUGUCCGGAUUUAUUGGGCGUAAAGAGCUCGUAGGCGGUUUGUCGCGUCUGCUGUGAAAACCCGAGGCUCAACCUCGGGCCUGCAGUGGGUACGGGCAGACUAGAGUGCGGUAGGGGAGAUUGGAAUUCCUGGUGUAGCGGUGGAAUGCGCAGAUAUCAGGAGGAACACCAAUGGCGAAGGCAGAUCUCUGGGCCGUAACUGACGCUGAGGAGCGAAAGCAUGGGGAGCGAACAGG
RNAcentral lists this ribosomal RNA (253 nucleotides) under uncultured bacterium. Its description in RNAcentral is "partial 16S ribosomal RNA". It matches the Rfam family "Bacterial small subunit ribosomal RNA", at positions 524 to 776 of the family's 1533-position model. The record is from RNAcentral.